RNAcentral lists this ribosomal RNA (630 nucleotides) under Triticum aestivum (bread wheat). RNAcentral describes it as "partial small subunit ribosomal RNA". The record is from RNAcentral. Lineage: Eukaryota; Viridiplantae; Streptophyta; Magnoliopsida; Poales; Poaceae.
AUGAGCUCGUUGUGGGAGCCUAGCUCCUUGACCUCACCAUACUGCAUGACAGCAAUCAUGUCAGCAUUGCGGAUAGUGGAGAGGCGAUGGGCAACGACGAUAGUCGUCCGACCCAAGGAGGCCAGGUCGAGUGCCUCCUGUACGACACGCUCUGACUCUGUAUCCAGUGCACUGGUGGCUUCAUCAAGGAGGAGGAUCUUGGGUGACUUCAGGAUUGCUCUGGCUAUAGCAAUCCUCUGCUUCUGCCCUCCAGACAUUUGGACACCACGCUCACCCACCUGUUUUCAUUUCGUAUAUGGACGAAGCUCCACCAGGACGCACGAUGAGGAGGAGAUGACUUGGAAGCCUAGAUCUAUAAAGCCAAAACCCUCUCACUGGGAUGAUCAUCUACACCGCACAAAGGACCUUCUGCACUACGAAGAACCCUGCAUCGAAUUUCACGAGAUUGGAAGGGCUAGUGGUUCAGCUUGGAUGCCAUCUCCUAAGAAACAAGAAAGAAACCCUGAUGCUUUCCUUGGCUCCAUCCGCUUUCCAUCCAUGCUAUCCUGGAUGCUCCAACCAGAUGAUGAUGCCUCAAAUGCCACACGAGGUAGUGCCUGUCCAAGGUUUUGUGAUUUGGACUCUCAAUAA